This is a long non-coding RNA of Thalassophryne amazonica, 730 nucleotides long. RefSeq lists it as uncharacterized. Lineage: Eukaryota; Metazoa; Chordata; Actinopteri; Batrachoidiformes; Batrachoididae. The record is from RefSeq and is a predicted model, not a curated record. The transcript is spliced from 3 exons.
UUUUUUUUUUACACUCCAAGGUUUUCUUCCAAGAUUGCCCUGUAUUUCGCUCCAUCCAUCUUCCCGUCAACUCUGUCCAUCUUCCCUGUCCCUGCUGAAGAGAAGCACCCCCAGAGCAUAACGCUGCCACCACCAUAUUUGACGGUGGGGAUGGUGUGUUCAGAGUGGUAUGCAGUGUUACAUCUUCGCCACACAUAGUGUUUUGCAUUUUGGCCAAAAAGUUCAAUUUUGGUCUCAUCAGACUAAAGCACCUUCUUCCACGUUUGCUGUGUCCCCACUGCAAACGGGACUUCUUAUGGUUUUCUUUUAACAAUGGCUUUCUUCUUGCCACUCUUCCAUAAAGGCCAAAUUUGUGCAGUGCACGACUAAUAGUUGUCCUGUGGACAGAUUCCCCCACCUGAGCUGUGGAUCUCUGCAGCUCAUCCAGAGUCACCAUGGGCCUCUUGGCUGCAUUUCUGAUCAGCGCUCUCCUUGUUCGGCCUGUGAGUUUAGGUGGACGGCCUUGUCUUGGUAGGUUUACAGUUGUGCCAUACUCCUUCCAUUUCUGAAUGGUCGAUUGAACAGUUGUCCAUGAGAUGUUCAAGCCUUGGGAAAUAUUUUUAUAGCCUAAGCCUGCUUUAAAUUUCUCCAGAACUUUAUCCCUGACCUGUCUGGUGUGUUCUUUGGGCUUCAUGGUGUUGUUUGCUCCCAAUAUUCUUUUAAACAACCUCUGAGGCUAUCACAGAGCAGC